GCGGAGGGAUCAUUACAGAGUUGCAAAACUCCCUAAACCAUUGUGAACGUUACCUUUACCGUUGCUUCGGCGGGCGGCCCGGGUCCUGCCCGGCGCCCCUCGGCCCCUCGCGGGCGCCCGCCGGAGGAAAACCAAACUAUUGCAUUGUAUGGCCUCUCUGAGUCUUCUGUACUGAAUAAGUCAAAACUUUCAACAACGGAUCUCUUGGUUCUGGCAUCGAUGAAGAACGCAGCGAAAUGCGAUAAGUAAUGUGAAUUGCAGAAUUCAGUGAAUCAUCGAAUCUUUGAACGCACAUUGCGCCCGCCAGUAUUCUGGCGGGCAUGCCUGUUCGAGCGUCAUUUCAACCAUCAAGCCCCAGGCUUGUGUUGGGGACCUGCGGCUGCCGCAGGCCCUGAAAACCAGUGGCGGGCUCGCUGUCACUCCGAGCGUAGUAGUUUACAUCUCGCUCAGGGCGUGCUGCGGGUUCCGGCCGUUAAAAGCCUUAUUUUACCCAAGGUUGACCUCGGAUCAGGUAGGAAGACCCGCUGAACUUAAGCAUAUCAAUAAGCGGAGGA
RNAcentral lists this ribosomal RNA (554 nucleotides) under Ascomycota sp. d29. Its description in RNAcentral is "eukaryotic LSU rRNA". The stretch from base 185 to 338 matches the Rfam family "5.8S ribosomal RNA". The record is from RNAcentral. Lineage: Eukaryota; Fungi; Ascomycota.